ACAUGCAAGUCGAGCGGUAGAGAGGUGCUUGCAUCUCUUGAGAGCGGCGACGGGUGAGUAAUGCCUAGGAAUCUGCCUAGUGGUCGGGGGAUAACGUUGGAAACGGACGCUAAUACCGCAUACGUCCUACGGGAGAAANCGGGGGGAUCUUGGACCUCGCGCCAUUAGAUGAGCCUAGGUCGGAUUAGCUAGUUGGUGAGGUAAUGGCUCACCAAGGCGACGAUCCGUAACUGGUCUGAGAGGAUGAUCAGUCACACUGGAACUGAGACACGGUCCAGACUCCUACGGGAGGCAGCAGUGGGGAAUAUUGGACAAUGGGCGAAAGCCUGAUCCAGCCAUGCCGCGUGUGUGAAGAAGGUCUUCGGAUUGUAAAGCACUUUAAGUUGGGAGGAAGGGUAGUAACCUAAUACGUUGCUACUUUGACGUUACCGACAGAAUAAGCACCGGCUAACUUCGUG
This 458-nucleotide ribosomal RNA is filed under the name uncultured bacterium. RNAcentral's name for it is "bacterial SSU rRNA". It matches the Rfam family "Bacterial small subunit ribosomal RNA", at positions 53 to 507 of the family's 1533-position model. The record is from RNAcentral.